Molecule: ribosomal RNA, 381 nt
Filed under: uncultured Comamonadaceae bacterium
Lineage: Bacteria; Pseudomonadati; Pseudomonadota; Betaproteobacteria; Burkholderiales; Comamonadaceae
Description: bacterial SSU rRNA
Rfam family: Bacterial small subunit ribosomal RNA
Source: RNAcentral
UUACCAGAGAUGGUUUGGUGCUCGAAAGAGAGCCGUAACACAGGUGCUGCAUGGCUGUCGUCAGCUCGUGUCGUGAGAUGUUGGGUUAAGUCCCGCAACGAGCGCAACCCUUGUCAUUAGUUGCUACGAAAGGGCACUCUAAUGAGACUGCCGGUGACAAACCGGAGGAAGGUGGGGAUGACGUCAAGUCCUCAUGGCCCUUAUAGGUGGGGCUACACACGUCAUACAAUGGCUGGUACAAAGGGUUGCCAACCCGCGAGGGGGAGCCAAUCCCAUAAAGCCAGUCGUAGUCCGGAUCGCAGUCUGCAACUCGACUGCGUGAAGUCGGAAUCGCUAGUAAUCGUGGAUCAGCAUGUCACGGUGAAUACGUUCCCGGGUCUU